AUACGGAGGGGGUUAGCGUUGUUCGGAAUUACUGGGCGUAAAGCGCACGUAGGCGGACUGGGAAGUUGGGGGUGAAAUCCCGGGGCUCAACCCCGGAACUGCCUCCAAAACUUCCAAUCUAGAGAUCGAGAGAGGUGAGUGGAAUUCCAAGUGUAGAGGUGAAAUUCGUAGAUAUUUGGAGGAACACCAGUGGCGAAGGCGGCUCACUGGCUCGAUACUGACGCUGAGGUGCGAAAGCGUGGGGAGCAAACAGGAUUAGAUACCCUAGUAGUCC
This 274-nucleotide ribosomal RNA is filed under the name uncultured bacterium. Its description in RNAcentral is "partial 16S ribosomal RNA". It matches the Rfam family "Bacterial small subunit ribosomal RNA", at positions 523 to 796 of the family's 1533-position model. The record is from RNAcentral.